RNAcentral lists this ribosomal RNA (635 nucleotides) under Erysiphe quercicola. RNAcentral's name for it is "partial large subunit ribosomal RNA". It matches the Rfam family "Eukaryotic large subunit ribosomal RNA", at positions 97 to 745 of the family's 3401-position model. The record is from RNAcentral. Lineage: Eukaryota; Fungi; Ascomycota; Leotiomycetes; Helotiales; Erysiphaceae.
AGCGGUAACAGCUCAAAUUUGAAAUCUGGCUCUUCCGGAGUCCGAGUUGUAAUUUGUAGAAGAUGCUUUGGGUUGUGGGUUCGGCCUAAGUUCCUUGGAACAGGACGUCAUAGAGGGUGAGAAUCCCGUAUGUGGCCGAGGCCCGCGCCUAUGUAAAGCUCUUUCAACGAGUCGAGUUGUUUGGGAAUGCAGCUCAAAAUGGGUGGUAAAUUUCAUCUAAAGCUAAAUAUGGGCCAGAGACCGAUAGCGCACAAGUAGAGUGAUCGAAAGAUGAAAAGCACUUUGGAAAGAGAGUUAAACAGUACGUGAAAUUGUUGAAAGGGAAGCGCUUGCAACCAGACUUGGGCGCUGCCGAUCACCUUGAGUUUUCUCGAGUGCACUCGACAGCGCACAGGCCAGCAUCGGUUCGGGUGGCUGGAUAAAGGCCGUAGGAAUGUGGCUCUCUUCGGGGAGUGUUAUAGCCUACGGUGCCAUGCAGCCCAGCCGGACCGAGGACCGCGCCUUCGGGCUAGGAUGCUGGCGUAAUGGUUGUAAGCGACCCGUCUUGAAACACGGACCAAGGAGUCUAACAUCUAUGCGAGUGUUUGGGUGGUAAACCCAUACGCGGAAUGAAAGUGAACGUAGGUGAGAACCCC